This 483-nucleotide ribosomal RNA is filed under the name Paenibacillus sp. Its description in RNAcentral is "bacterial SSU rRNA". It matches the Rfam family "Bacterial small subunit ribosomal RNA", at positions 49 to 511 of the family's 1533-position model. Lineage: Bacteria; Bacillati; Bacillota; Bacilli; Caryophanales; Paenibacillaceae. The record is from RNAcentral.
UAAUACAUGCAAGUCGAGCGGACUUGAUGGAGUGCUUGCACUCCUGAUGGUUAGCGGCGGACGGGUGAGUAACACGUAGGUAACCUGCCCAUAAGACUGGGAUAACCCACGGAAACGUGAGCUAAUACCAGAUAGGCAUUUUCCUCGCAUGAGGGAAAUGAGAAAGGCGGAGCAAUCUGUCACUUAUGGAUGGACCUGCGGCGCAUUAGCUAGUUGGUGAGGUAACGGCUCACCAAGGCGACGAUGCGUAGCCGACCUGAGAGGGUGAUCGGCCACACUGGGACUGAGACACGGCCCAGACUCCUACGGGAGGCAGCAGUAGGGAAUCUUCCGCAAUGGACGAAAGUCUGACGGAGCAACGCCGCGUGAGUGAUGAAGGUUUUCGGAUCGUAAAGCUCUGUUGCCAGGGAAGAACGCCUAGGAGAGUAACUGCUCUUAGGGUGACGGUACCUGAGAAGAAAGCCCCGGCUAACUACGUGCCAG